UACGUAGGUGGCAAGCGUUGUCCGGAAUUAUUGGGCGUAAAGCGCGCGCAGGCGGUUCCUUAAGUCUGAUGUGAAAGCCCACGGCUCAACCGUGGAGGGUCAUUGGAAACUGGGGAACUUGGGUGCAGAAGAGGAGAGUGGAAUUCCACGUGUAGCGGUGAAAUGCGUAGAGAUGUGGAGGAACACCAGUGGCGAAGGCGACUCUCUGGUCUGUAACUGACGCUGAGGCGCGGAAGCGUGGGGAGCGAACAGG
RNAcentral lists this ribosomal RNA (253 nucleotides) under uncultured bacterium. RNAcentral's name for it is "partial 16S ribosomal RNA". It matches the Rfam family "Bacterial small subunit ribosomal RNA", at positions 524 to 776 of the family's 1533-position model. The record is from RNAcentral.